This 492-nucleotide ribosomal RNA is filed under the name uncultured bacterium. Its description in RNAcentral is "partial 16S ribosomal RNA". It matches the Rfam family "Bacterial small subunit ribosomal RNA", at positions 29 to 507 of the family's 1533-position model. The record is from RNAcentral.
AGUGAACGCUGGCGGUGGGCCUAACACAUGCAAGUCGAACGGCAGCACAGUAAGAGCUUGCUCUUACGGGUGGCGAGUGGCGGACGGGUGAGGAAUACAUCGGGAUCUACUUUUUCGUGGGGGAUAACGUAGGGAAACUUACGCUAAUACCGCAUACGACCUACGGGUGAAAGCAGGGGAUCUUCGGACCUUGCGCGAUUGAAUGAGCCGAUGUCGGAUUAGCUAGUUGGCGGGGUAAAGGCCCACCAAGGCGACGAUCCGUAGCUGGUCUGAGAGGAUGAUCAGCCACACUGGAACUGAGACACGGUCCAGACUCCUACGGGAGGCAGCAGUGGGGAAUAUUGGACAAUGGGCGCAAGCCUGAUCCAGCCAUACCGCGUGGGUGAAGAAGGCCUUCAGGUUGUAAAGCCCUUUUGUUGGGAAAGAAAAGCAGCAGGUUAAUACCCCGCUGUUCUGACGGUACCCAAAGAAUAAGCACCGGCUAACUUCGUG